This 253-nucleotide ribosomal RNA is filed under the name uncultured bacterium. RNAcentral's name for it is "partial 16S ribosomal RNA". It matches the Rfam family "Bacterial small subunit ribosomal RNA", at positions 524 to 776 of the family's 1533-position model. The record is from RNAcentral.
UACGUAGGGUGCAAGCGUUAAUCGGAAUUACUGGGCGUAAAGCGUGCGCAGGCGGUUUUGUAAGUCUGUCGUGAAAUCCCCGGGCUCGACCUGGGAAUUGCGAUGGAGACUGCAAGGCUAGAAUCUGGCAGAGGGGGGUAGAAUUCCACGUGUAGCAGUGAAAUGCGUAGAGAUGUGGAGGAACACCGAUGGCGAAGGCAGCCCCCUGGGUCAAGAUUGACGCUCAUGCACGAAAGCGUGGGGAGCGAACAGG